GAUGAACGCUGGCGGCGUGCCUAAUACAUGCAAGUCGAGCGAACGGACGAGAAGCUUGCUUCUCUGAUGUUAGCGGCGGACGGGUGAGUAACACGUGGAUAACCUACCUAUAAGACUGGGAUAACUUCGGGAAACCGGAGCUAAUACCGGAUGAUAUUUUGAACCGCAUGGUUCAAAAGUGAAAGACGGUCUUGCUGCCACUUAUAGAUGGAUCCGCGCUGCAUUAGCUAGUUGGUAAGGUAACGGCUUACCAAGGCAACGAUGCAUAGCCGACCUGAGAGGGUGAUCGGCCACACUGGAACUGAGACACGGUCCAGACUCCUACGGGAGGCAGCAGUAGGGAAUCUUCCGCAAUGGGCGAAAGCCUGACGGGGCAACGCCGCGUGAGUGAUGAAGGUCUUCGGAUCGUAAAACUCUGUUAUUAGGGAAGAACAUAUGUGUAAGUAACUGUGCACAUCUUGACGGUACCUAAUCAGAAAGCCACGGCUAACUACGUG
RNAcentral lists this ribosomal RNA (497 nucleotides) under uncultured bacterium. Its description in RNAcentral is "partial 16S ribosomal RNA". It matches the Rfam family "Bacterial small subunit ribosomal RNA", at positions 28 to 507 of the family's 1533-position model. The record is from RNAcentral.